CUUGAUUUUUAUAAAAAACGUCGAUAUAUUAACCAUUGCCAAGUAAUUGGCUGUGACACCAGAGACCUUAUGGAAUAGGUGCAUUGGACCCGAGGGCAGUACUCGGCACCUCCACCAAAUUUAUGGGGGUGAAACAGGUUCGACAGUGUUCAGUAAAGAUUUGUGUUGUGUCCGGCAAGAUACCACCGUUAUCGGUUCAAAAUAAACGAAUGCAAAUGAUAAUUUUGCACCGGUUGCAGUUGCCGCAUAAUUUAAGCAAAUGCAACAAAUUUUAAUCCUUUAAGCAUUGGUUUGCCUAAAGUGGGGGCGGAGCCACCCAGCAACAGAACGGCU
This 333-nucleotide transfer-messenger RNA is filed under the name bovine gut metagenome. Its description in RNAcentral is "Alphaproteobacteria transfer-messenger RNA". It matches the Rfam family "Alphaproteobacteria transfer-messenger RNA". Rfam says of the family: Bacterial tmRNA, also known as 10Sa RNA or SsrA, is named for its dual tRNA and mRNA-like properties. Its role is to liberate the mRNA from a stalled ribosome. The record is from RNAcentral.